CUUGAGCCGGCGACAUAUCCAUCGAAGGUGUGCCCUAUCAUCUGUCGACUGUGGCAUAGACGCCCACAGUGGAUUUGACGGGUAACGGGGAAUCAGGGUUCGAUUCCGGAGAGGGAGCCUUAAAAACGGCUACCACAUCCAAGGAAGGCAGCAGGCACGCAAAUUACCCAAUGACCGAAGGUCGAGGUAGUGACGAAAAAUAACGAUACGGGACUCAUCCGAGGCCCCGUAAUCGGAAUGAGUACACUUUAAAACCUUUCCAACGAGGAUCUAUUGGAGGGCAAGUCUGGUGCCAGCAGCCGCGGUAAUUCCAGCUCCAAUAGCGUAUAUUAAAGUUGUUGCGGUUAAAAAGCUCGUAGUUGGAUCUCGGCGGCUAGAGGGCGGUAUGCUUCGUAGCAUUACUGCUCUAUUAGCCGUAGUUUUGCUAGAGGUUCCUGGGUGCUCUUAAUCGAGUGUCUAGGGAUGCUAGCGGGUUUACUUUGAAAAAAUUAGAGUGCUCAAAGCAGGCUAUUACGCUUGAAUAUUCGUGCAUGGAAUAAUAGAAUAGGAAGUUGUUUCUAUUUUGUUGGUUUUCGGAAAUCGACUUAAUGAUUAAUAGGGACAGUCGGGGGCAUUUGUAUUCAAACGACAGAGGUGAAAUUCUUGGACCGUUUGAAGACAAGCUACUGCGAAAGCAUUUGCCAAGAAUGUUUUCAUUAAUCAAGAACGAAAGUUAGAGGUUCGAAGGCGAUUAGAUACCGCCCUAGUUCUAACCAUAAACGAUGCCAGCUAGCGAUCUGAGGACGUUUUUUUUGUAGACUCCUCAGGAAGCUUCCGGGAAACCAAAGCGUGUGGGUUCCGGGGGAAGUAUGGUUGCAAAGCUGAAACUUAAAGGAAUUGACGGAAGGGCACCACCAGGAGUGGAGCCUGCGGCUUAAUUUGA
Molecule: ribosomal RNA, 922 nt
Filed under: uncultured eukaryote
Lineage: Eukaryota
Description: SSU rRNA
Rfam family: Eukaryotic small subunit ribosomal RNA
Source: RNAcentral